UAGCCAAAAAUCCAAAAAUAUGUCUAGUGUAGCUUUGUUUCUUUUGUAGGAAGUGUGUGUGUCCAUUUGUACCUCAUCAAGCUCACAACUAGGGUUUGAGACUCUCAAUGCAAGGGAUCUGGUUAGAAAAGGUCCACAUUGGUUUAAAGCAUCAUAUAUGGAUCCCCAUGUUCUUUAUUUGUCAUUUUGAUCAAGAAUUCAUCAAGAAAUUGAAGCUUGUUUGUCAUGGAAGCCCUAAUUCACCUGGGUAUCUUAUG
This 257-nucleotide long non-coding RNA is filed under the name Lathyrus oleraceus (garden pea). RNAcentral describes it as "Pisum sativum (pea) long non-coding RNA (PSAT_LNC016705)". The record is from RNAcentral. Lineage: Eukaryota; Viridiplantae; Streptophyta; Magnoliopsida; Fabales; Fabaceae.